This 138-nucleotide ribosomal RNA is filed under the name uncultured bacterium. RNAcentral's name for it is "partial 16S ribosomal RNA". It matches the Rfam family "Bacterial small subunit ribosomal RNA", at positions 355 to 509 of the family's 1533-position model. The record is from RNAcentral.
UCGGGAAUAUUGCGCAAUGGAGGAAACUCUGACGCAGUGACGCCGCGUAUAGGAAGAAGGUCUUCGGAUUGUAAACUAUUGUCGUUAGGGAAGAGAAAGGACAGUACCUAAGGAGGAAGCUCCGGCUAACUACGUGCC